AUUGAACGCUGGCGGCAGGCCUAACACAUGCAAGUCGAACGGUAACAGGAAACAGCUUGCUGUUUCGCUGACGAGUGGCGGACGGGUGAGUAAUGUCUGGGAAACUGCCUGAUGGCGGGGGAUAACUACUGGAAACGGUAGCUAAUACCGCAUAACGUCGCAAGACCAAAGAGGGGGACCUUCGGGCCUCUUGCCCUCGGAUGUGCCCAGAUGGGAUUAGCUUGUUGGUGGGGUAACGGCUCACCAAGGCGACGAUCCCUAGCUGGUCUGAGAGGAUGAUCAGCCACACUGGAACUGAGACACGGUCCAGACUCCUACGGGAGGCAGCAGUGGGGAAUAUUGCACAAUGGGCGCAAGCCUGAUGCAGCCAUGCCGCGUGUAUGAAGAAGGCCUUCGGGUUGUAAAGUACUUUCAGCGGGGAGGAAGGGAGUCAAGUUAAUACCUUUGCUUAUUGACGUUACCCGCAGAAGAAGCACCGGCUAACUCCGUG
RNAcentral lists this ribosomal RNA (490 nucleotides) under uncultured bacterium. Its description in RNAcentral is "partial 16S ribosomal RNA". It matches the Rfam family "Bacterial small subunit ribosomal RNA", at positions 30 to 507 of the family's 1533-position model. The record is from RNAcentral.